GACAGUUUGGCCGAGUGGCCUAAGGCGUCAACUUAGUGCACUUGAACUGAAGGGCGCGAGAUCGAUUCUCGCAGCUGUUA
Perkinsus olseni is the source of this 80-nucleotide non-coding RNA. The record is from the annotation of a GenBank genome assembly. NCBI's taxonomy places the organism in Eukaryota, Perkinsozoa, Perkinsida, Perkinsidae.